Molecule: ribosomal RNA, 484 nt
Filed under: uncultured bacterium
Lineage: Bacteria
Description: partial 16S ribosomal RNA
Rfam family: Bacterial small subunit ribosomal RNA
Source: RNAcentral
AUUGAACGCUGGCGGCAGGCCUAACACAUGCAAGUCGAGCGGAUGAAGGGAGCUUGCUCCUGGAUUCAGCGGCGGACGGGUGAGUAAUGCCUAGGAAUCUGCCUGGUAGUGGGGGAUAACGUCCGGAAACGGGCGCUAAUACCGCAUACGUCCUGAGGGAGAAAGUGGGGGAUCCUCGGACCUCACGCUAUCAGAUGAGCCUAGGUCGGAUUAGCUAGUUGGUGGGGUAAAGGCCUACCAAGGCGACGAUCCGUAACUGGUCUGAGAGGAUGAUCAGCCACACUGGAACUGAGACACGGUCCAGACUCCUACGGGAGGCAGCAGUGGGGAAUAUUGGACAAUGGGCGAAAGCCUGAUCCAGCCAUGCCGCGUGUGUGAAGAAGGUCUUCGGAUUGUAAAGCACUUUAAGUUGGGAGGAAGGGCAGUAAGUUAAUACCUUGCUGUUUUGACGUUACCAACAGAAUAAGCACCGGCUAACUUCGUG